AGCUUCCCAGCAGCUUUGUUUACCUAAGCAAGCCUGGGCAAUGGCGGGCGCCCCUCCCCCAGCCUCGCUGCUGCCUUGCAGUUUGAUCUCAGACUGCUGUGCUAGCAAUCAGCGAGACUCCGUGGGCGUAGGACCCUCCGAGCCAGGUGUGGGAUGUAAUUUCGUGGUGCGCCGUUUUUUAAGCCCGUCGGAAAAGCGCAGUAUUCGGGUGGGAGUGACCCGAUUUUCCAGUGAGAUGAACCCGGUACCUCAGAUGGAAAUGCAGAAAUCACCCAUCUUCUGCGUCGCUCACGCUGGGAGCUGUAGACCUGAGCUGUUCCUAUUCGGCCAUCUUGGCUCCUCCCCCCAGAUGAGGAAGCUGGAACUUGUAGGGGAUUUAAGAACCUAGCCACACAUCAAGCACUUGGUAAGAGGUGAAGCUAUCUAUGGUUUGGUGACUCCAAGCUUUCAGCUUUACAUUAUUCUGCCUCUCCUCAUCUGCUUCUGCAGGCGGUCAUGUUAGCACAGAUCAAAGUCAUGCCAUGGUCCCAGUACCUUUUUUCUUUUCAAAAGUUAUCUCAAGUUGU
This is a long non-coding RNA of Homo sapiens (human), 566 nucleotides long. The record is from Ensembl. NCBI's taxonomy places the organism in Eukaryota, Metazoa, Chordata, Mammalia, Primates, Hominidae.